AUGCAAGUCGAACGCGAAAUGCUCCUUCGGGAGCCGAGUAGAGUGGCAGACGGGUGAGUAACGCGUGGGUAACGUGCCCCAGUCCUGGGAAGUGCCGUCGGAAACGAGGGCUAAUACCGAAUGUGGCCCCCGAUCGGAUGAUCGGUGGCUAAAGGUGGCCUCUUCUAUGCUGCCGGGUUGGGAUCGGCCCGCGUCCCAUUAGCUAGUUGGUGAGGUAACGGCCCACCAAGGCAACGAUGGGUAGCCGGCCUGAGAGGGUGUCCGGCCACACUGGCACUGAGAGAAGGGCCAGUCCCCUAUGGGAGGCGCAGGCGGGAAUAGUUCCCAAUGGACGAAAGUCUGAGGACGCGACGCCGCGUGAGCGAAGAAGGCCUUCGGGUUGUAAAGCUCUGUCAGGAGGGAAGAAGGCGCUGGGUGUUAAUAGCACCAAGCGUUGACGGUACUUCCAGAGGAAGCCCCGGCUAAAUACGUGCCAGCAGCCGCGGUAAUACGUAUGGGGCAAGCGUUGUCCGGAUUAACUGGGCGUAAAGGGCACGCAGGCGGUUCGUUUAGUCGAAGGUGAAAUCCCUGGGCUCAACUCAGGAACUGCCUUCGAUACUGGCGAACUAGAGUGGCGUAGAGGAAAGCGGAACUCCUGGUGUAACGGUGGAAUGUGUAGAUAUCAGGAGGAACACCGGUGGCGAAGGCGGCUUUCUGGACGCACACUGACGCUCAGGUGCGAAAGCGUGGGUAGCAAACAGGAUUAGAUACCCUGGUAGUCCACGCCGUAAACGAUGGGUACUAGGUGUCGGGGGUAUCGAUCCCCUCGGUGCCGAAGUCAACGCAUUAAGUACCCCGCCUGGGGAGUAUGGUCGCAAGGCUGAAACUCAAAGGAAUUGACGGGUCCCCGCACAAGCGGUGGAGCAUGUGGUUUAAUUCGACGCAACGCGAAGAACCUUACCUGGGCUUGACAUGCUUGGGACAGCGCUGGAAACAGCGUCUCUCCUUCGGGAGUCCUUGCACAGGUGCUGCAUGGCUGUCGUCAGCUCGUGUCGUGAGAUGUCGGGUUAAGUCCCUCAACGAGCGCAACCCUCGUUACUAGUUGCCAUCAGUUCGGCUGGGCACUCUAGUGAGACUGCCGGUGACAAACCGGAGGAAGGUGAGGAUGAUGUCAAGUCAUCAUGGCCCUUACGCCCAGGGCUACACACGUGCUACAAUGGUCGGCACAAAGGGCAGCCAAACCGCGAGGUGGAGCUAAUCC
RNAcentral lists this ribosomal RNA (1240 nucleotides) under uncultured organism. RNAcentral's name for it is "bacterial SSU rRNA". It matches the Rfam family "Bacterial small subunit ribosomal RNA", at positions 55 to 1274 of the family's 1533-position model. The record is from RNAcentral.